UUGUCUUGGUGGGUGUUUGAAGGAUGCAAGAAUGUUGUUUAAUGAGAUGCCUGAAAAAAAUGUGGUUUCUUGGAAUGUGAUGCUGAAUGGGUAUGCUAAGGCAGGGCUAGUCGAUUUAGCUAAAGAGGUUUUUGAACAGAUUGUUGAUAAGGAUGUGGUCUCUUGGGGUACAAUUAUUGAUGGUUAUUUGCAAGCAGCAAGGUUGAAUGAUGCUGUCAAAAGAUACCGUGAUAUGCUAUAUACUGG
RNAcentral lists this unclassified non-coding RNA (246 nucleotides) under Hevea brasiliensis (rubber tree). Lineage: Eukaryota; Viridiplantae; Streptophyta; Magnoliopsida; Malpighiales; Euphorbiaceae. The record is from RNAcentral.